Molecule: ribosomal RNA, 848 nt
Filed under: Myrmecolax sp. 1 DPM-2011
Lineage: Eukaryota; Metazoa; Arthropoda; Insecta; Strepsiptera; Myrmecolacidae
Description: partial 16S large subunit ribosomal RNA
Source: RNAcentral
AUUAAUUAUUUUAAUUUUUCGAAUUUUUAAGAGUUAAUUUUAUUUUAUAUUAUAAUGUUUUAUAAUUAUGUUAAAAAUAAAAUUUGAAAUGAAAAGUUAUUCGUUUAAAAAUAUAUCUAAUUUAUUUAGAAAUUAAUUUAAUUAAUUUAUUAUUAAUUUAUUUAUUUAUUAUAUUAUUUAAUUAUUAAUAUUAAGAUUAAUCGGGAUAAUUUGAUUAAUUAAUUUAUAUAAUAGAUAAAUUUUUAUAAAAAUUGUAGGAUUAUAAUUUUUCUUUAUUUAAUUUGUAAUAAAAUAUUUUUUUAUAGAUAAAGAUUUAUUAAUUUAUUAAAUAUUUUAUAAAUAUAUAUUAUUAAAUAAUUUAAUAAUAGAAAUAAUGAUUAAAUAAGUAAAUUUUAAUUUAUAUGUGUGAUUAAUAAAAAUUUAAUUUAAAUGAAUUAGGCAAAAUAAUUUUUACCUGUUUAUUAAAAACAUGUUUAUUUGAAUUAAAUAAAUAAUUGUAUCUGCCCAUUGAUUAUUUUAAAGGCUAUAGUAUUUUAACUAUACAAAGGUAGCAUAAUAAAUAGUUUUUUAAUUGAAAACUAGAAUGAAUGAUUUGAUAAAAAUUAUCUUUAUUUAAAUUAUUAAUUGAAAUUUUUAUUUAAGUGAAAAAACUUAAAUUAAAAAAAAAGACGAUUAGACCCUAUAAAACUUUAUUAUUUUUAAUAAUUUAUUUUGUUAAUAAUAAAUUGGUUGGGGAAAUUUUUAAAUUAGUUAAUUUUUUAUUUUAUUAAUUAUUAUAAUAAAAUUAAUUGAUCUUUUAUUAAAGGAUUUAAGAAAAAGUUGCUUUAGGGAUAACAGCAUAAUUUUUU